This 376-nucleotide unclassified non-coding RNA is filed under the name Hevea brasiliensis (rubber tree). The record is from RNAcentral. Lineage: Eukaryota; Viridiplantae; Streptophyta; Magnoliopsida; Malpighiales; Euphorbiaceae.
AAAACAUACAAAAUCUACUUAUAAGUAUGAUGUCUGAACUCCCCCUUCCCUUGGUGGUCGUUUGGUUGCUGGUUAGAGUUAUGCACGUAUUAGUUAUGCGUAAAAGAAAAACAUGAACCAAGCAUUGUAUUAGCAAUGCUACGUUUUACGUGAAAAGAGAAAAAAACAACCAAACUUUGUAUACUUUAUGCUAGAUUCUACAUGAGUAUUAUAUUUCCUCAUUUUGUAAUCAACCAACUUACAAAGUUAUGCUAGUUUUUAGUACAUGAAUAACUCCUCUUUUAUCUAGCAACCAAACAACCUCUGUACCACCCUAAAGUAGUAACAAAAAGGAUAAAAUAACAUAGGAAAUAUCCCUCUAGUGAACAGAAGAACA